CAGUAGCCUCGGGAAUACGGAGGGUGCAAGCGUUAUCCGGAUUCACUGGGUUUAAAGGGUGCGUAGGCGGAUCUGUAAGUCAGUGGUGAAAUCUCCAGGCUUAACCUGGAAACUGCCGUUGAUACUAUAGGUCUUGAAUUUUUGGAGGUUAGCGGAAUAUGUCAUGUAGCGGUGAAAUGCAUAGAUAUGACAUAGAACACCAAUUGCGAAGGCAGCUGGCUACACAACUAUUGACGCUGAGGCACGAAAGCGUGGGGAUCAAACAGGAUUAGAUACCCGCGUAGUCCCUGUCUCUUAUACA
Molecule: ribosomal RNA, 301 nt
Filed under: uncultured bacterium
Lineage: Bacteria
Description: partial 16S ribosomal RNA
Rfam family: Bacterial small subunit ribosomal RNA
Source: RNAcentral